This 1606-nucleotide unclassified non-coding RNA is filed under the name Hevea brasiliensis (rubber tree). The record is from RNAcentral. Lineage: Eukaryota; Viridiplantae; Streptophyta; Magnoliopsida; Malpighiales; Euphorbiaceae.
GGCAGCUCCAGAGAAGAUGACAAGAAAUGAAAUUGGUAUUGAGAUUGAAAUGUUUCUAAAGCCCUAAAACCUCUCGUUCUCUUUCUGUUUCUCCCUCAAAAAAUUUUUACAAUACAAGAAAAUGGCGACGCUUCAGGUUCAACUUCAACUAUCAAAUCCCAAUACAUCGUCUCCUUCAUUGUCCACUCCAAUUCCCCACAAGCUAUUUAUUUCCCGGAGAACUGAACGAAGUUCCAAACGAUACCGUUCUGGUUCGUGUUCUGGGUCUGUAAGCUGCUCAUUUGCCCCAAUGGAGUCUGCGAAGAUAAAGGUCGUGGGUGUCGGUGGCGGUGGCAAUAAUGCCGUUAAUCGCAUGAUUGGAAGUGGUUUGCAGGGUGUUGAUUUCUAUGCCAUAAACACCGAUUCUCAAGCACUAUUACAGUCUGCUGCUCAGAACCCACUUCAAAUUGGAGAGCUUUUGACUCGUGGACUAGGCACUGGUGGGAGUCCUCUUUUAGGAGAGCAGGCUGCAGAGGAAUCAAAAGAAGCCAUUGCGAAUGCUCUUAAGGGCUCAGAUCUUGUUUUUAUAACAGCUGGUAUGGGUGGAGGCACAGGCUCUGGUGCUGCACCAGUUGUAGCCCAGAUAUCAAAGGAGGCAGGGUAUUUGACUGUUGGUGUGGUCACCUAUCCUUUCAGUUUUGAGGGCCGUAAGAGAUCCCUGCAGGCAUUAGAGGCUAUUGAAAAAUUACAAAAAAAUGUUGAUACUCUAAUAGUGAUACCCAAUGACCGCCUGCUUAAUAUUGCUGAUGAGCAGACACCCCUUCAGGAUGCCUUCCUUCUUGCUGAUGAUGUUCUACGCCAAGGAGUGCAAGGAAUUUCGGAUAUUAUUACAAUUCCUGGAUUGGUUAAUGUGGAUUUUGCAGAUGUAAAAGCAGUUAUGAAAGAUUCCGGUACUGCAAUGCUUGGAGUUGGAGUUUCCUCCAGCAAAAAUCGUGCAGAAGAAGCAGCUGAACAAGCAACCUUGGCACCACUGAUUGGAUCAUCAAUUCAGUCAGCUACUGGAGUAGUUUAUAACAUUACUGGAGGAAAAGACAUAACGUUGCAGGAAGUGAACAGAGUAUCCCAGGUUGUUACAAGCUUAGCUGAUCCAUCUGCAAAUAUAAUAUUUGGUGCUGUUGUGGACGACCGCUAUAAUGGAGAGAUUCAUGUGACCAUCAUUGCAACUGGUUUCUCCCAGUCAUUCCAGAAGACACUUCUAACAGACCCCAGGGCUGCAAAACUGGUAGACAAAAUGGCAGGGAACCAAGAAGGCAGGGCAGUUCCGCUCCCUCUCAAGCCUGCAACCUCACCUUCCACGGUUCCUUCUAGACCAUCUCCAAGAAAGCUCUUCUUUUGAUUAUUUUUUCUCUCCCCUUUUUUUCGGUUUUUGUUUUGUGGAGAUAGAGAUGGGGGAGAAUGCUUUCUCCUGCGCCAAAUUCACCUUUGUAUUGAUUGUGAGGUUAAAUCCAUAUCAGAUGGUUUUGUUGUCUCUUGCGUAUCAACGGGCAUACGCAAAUUUGUCCGUUAUUAUAGCCAUGACUGAAAAUUUAUGGAUAAAAAAUAAUAUUAAAAAAACUUCAAAUUGCGC